CUCAUCUGUAAAACUUUCUGCAUUUCACCAUGGAAGUGGCAACCCACUUCUCCAGGACCCUUCUCUCUGCAGGAGAUAACUUUUCUCUUUCUUUCACUUAUUAAACCUCCACUCUUAACUUUACUCUUCGUGUGUCCACAUCCUUGAUUUCCUUGGCAUGAGUCAACAAACCUUGGGUAUUACCCCAGACAAAUGAUGCCACUUUAGUUUCCACUUUUCCAGACACAUUAAUGUAGGUGCAACAGGUUUUGCUGACGACAGCACAGACUCCUCCUUGUUCAGCUAGGAGGUAUUCCGGGGCUCAUCUAUUAUCAAAAGCCAUUCCCGCUAGUGAGUCCAAAGACUUUUCCAGCACCGAUAGACUUGCACCAGUUUUUGCUAAGGCUGUUUCAAGGGAGGAGGAAGAAGCAAAGAAGUCUAAGUUCUUUGGAGUAAGAUGCUCUCAAAUGCCUAGGAACACUGAUCUCCUAACUUGUCUUCCUGCUUUGAGUGUCCCUCUGAGGUUAAAGUUCCUGCCUCAGUCUCCAACAAUGAAACAAGAAGAGCACCAGUGAUCUAAGGGACAAUUUCAAGAAGCCAAAUAUAAGUGCAAUUAGAUUCCCCAAUGGAGAAGAGCAAGGAGGGGAAUAAAAAAUAUAUAUUUAAAGAAAUGAAAGUGGAAUUUUUUCAAGUUCAUAAAAACUAUAAAACCUUAGAUUCAAGGCUACCAACGAACCCCAAGCAUAAGAAACAAAGAAAAUUUCAAGGAACAUCAUAACAAAAUUGCUCAAAACCAGAGAUAAAGAGAAGUUUUACAGUUAGCCAGAGGAAAAAAGACACAUUAAGAACAGAGAAACAAAAAUGAAGAUGAUAUCACAUUUCUCUUCGGAAGCAAUAUAAAUGAGAAGUUAUUGUAGCAACAUCUUGAAACUACUGACAGUACAAAACAAAACAAACUCCCAACAUGUCUGUACUUAGCAGGAAUGUCUUUUUUAAAUGAAGGCAAAUAAGACUUUUUCAGACAUACAAAGUCUGAAAGAAUUAAUCUCCAGCAGCCCUGCACUACAAGAAAUGUUAAAGAAAGUCCUGUAAGCAGAAAGAAAAUGAUACAAGAUGGAUCUAUGCAAAGGAAUAAAGAGCAUUAAAAAUGGUUAAUACAUGG
This 1141-nucleotide long non-coding RNA is filed under the name Homo sapiens (human). RNAcentral's name for it is "HSALNT0119911". The record is from RNAcentral. Lineage: Eukaryota; Metazoa; Chordata; Mammalia; Primates; Hominidae.